ACAUUAAGCAGCUUCUUUGGGGAUUUAGGGUACAGAUCCUACAGAGAAAGAACUGGCACCCCCUGAAUCCAUUGAAACAUAAACACCAGAUUCUGCUUGUCCUGCGCAUCUCUGUCGUUAAGAGCAACACAGGGGCACAGAGUGCUUACGACUUGACCCUCAAAAGCUCUGUAAGAGGGAAGCCAUCUGCAGUGGAAAUGUGAAGGGCUCUUUCCAGAUUCUGGCUCUUUUCAGAUUCUCGUCUCCCAGGGCAUCAUGACAAAUCAAACACUGUUUCUGGGAAGGCCGUGCACAGAGAGUGUGCUCACAGCUUCAGAGGGGAAGAAAGCACACAGAGAGACAUGUGGGCUGCGCAGGGCUGGAAGAGAGUUUUCAUCCCUUCCAGACAAGAGAACAUCCUAACAGCCUGCAGUUACUCCACUCUGGAUCACAUUUGCUUUGGAGGCAAAAUAUCAUUUGAGUGAUCUCCUUUAUCAUACACAACUCAUCAUCAGGCUUCAGCUGCAAAUUGUGAAGACAUAGCAGUAAGCUCUUCAGGAGCAGUGAGCUCCUUUCUUUGAAAAUCAUCCAGUCCUCAGGCUUCCAUCUGCCACCUGUGGGUCUGCCUUCCUCCCUGGGGCGUCAUCAGACUUUCUCGGCAGAGGCCAGAGAGUAAAUAUUUCAGUCUUUGUGGGCCAUACAGCCUUGAGACUACUCAGCUACACAUUUGUAGCUUGGAAGCAGCCAUAGGUAACACAUACAUGAAUGGACAGGCUUUGUUUCAAUAAAACUUUAUUUAACAAGCCGGUGAAUCCUGCCAAGCCCUGCUCUUGAAUGGCAGUUCUCAGAUUGUCAUGUACAGAUGUGAGAGUUGGACUGUAAAGAAGGCUGAGUGUCGAAGAAUUGAUGCUUUCGAUUUGUGGUGCUGGAGAAAACUCGAGAAUUCCCUGGACUGCAAGGAAAUCAAACCAGUCAAUCCUAAAGGAAAUCAACCCUGAAUAUUCAUUGGAAGGACUGAUGCUAAAGCUGAAGCUGAAGCUCCCAUCAUUCAGCCACCUGAUGCAAACAGCCAACUCACUGGAAAAGACCCUGAGGCUUGGAAAGAUUUAAGGCAAAAAGUAGAAUGAGGCAGCAGAGGAUGGGAUGGUUAGGUAACAUCACUGAUGCAAUGGACAUGAAUAUGAGCAAACUUCAGGAGAUAGUGGAGGACAGAGGAGCCUGGAGGGCUACAGUCCAUGGGGUGCUAAAGAGUCAGACACCACUCAGCGACUGAACAACAACAAAUCUCAGAUUGUGGUACACAAGCCCUCAUCCCCUGGAACACUGGAUUAUGUUGGAAGGUUUUGCAUAUCCACAAGCCUGUUGCUCAUGACAGAAGGCAGACUCUCCUAAAAAGGAAUUUAGAAUUUAAAUAAUAAAAGUAAUAUAGGCAAUUGAUCUGCCUCGGCAGAGCUGUGAGGGACUCUCUCAGGAUGAAUAGAAAGGAUAUUAAUUCUAUCAGUGCCAAGGUAUGAUUGGAGAGUUGGAGUGAUAGGGUGAGACCUUGAAGGCAAAGCCAAAUUUAAGGUGGAGCCGGGGAGUCAAGCUCUUUCUGAGAAGUAACUGGAGAUUCUCAGCCUUGAAUGUUCAAAACAGAGGCACAGACUAUGUUACAACAUCUCGAAAGUCCCCAAGAUAGAAGCCUGUACACAGAGACUAAUAGUUUAUCUCACUGUGACAGAUACCAACUUUAAAUAUUGCAUUAGGAGAACAAAAAGACCUGAGCAGAGCUGCAUAGAGGUCUGGAAGAGAGUUCCAAGUGAAUAGUUUAAAAAUUGGCCCAGGGACUUCCCUCAUGGUCCAGUGGUUAAGACUCCUUGCUUCCAAUGCAGGGGACUCAGGUUGGAUACCUGGUCAGGGAACUAAGAUCCCACAG
This is a long non-coding RNA of Bos taurus (domestic cattle), 1894 nucleotides long. NCBI's taxonomy places the organism in Eukaryota, Metazoa, Chordata, Mammalia, Artiodactyla, Bovidae. The record is from Ensembl.